UCUCCAGACUCCUACGGGAGGCAGCAGUGGGGAAUAUUGGGCAAUGGGCGCAAGCCUGACCCAGCAACGCCGCGUGAAGGAAGAAGGCUUUCGGGUUGUAAACUUCUUUUAAGAGGGAAGAGCAGAAGACGGUACCUCUUGAAUAAGCCACGGCUAACUACGUGCCAGCAGCCGCGGUAAUACGUAGGGGGCAAGCGUUAUCCGGAUUUACUGGGUGUAAAGGGAGCGUAGACGGUCCUGCAAGCCAGAUGUGAAAGCCCGGGGCUCAACCCCGGGACUGCAUUUGGAACUGUAAGGCUAGAGUGUCGGAGAGGCAGGCGGAAUUCCUAGUGUAGCGGUGAAAUGCGUAGAUAUUAGGAGGAACACCAGUGGCGAAGGCGGCCUGCUGGACGACAACUGACGGUGAGGCGCGAAAGCGUGGGGAGCAAACAGGAUUAGAUACCCCCGUACC
This 451-nucleotide ribosomal RNA is filed under the name uncultured bacterium. Its description in RNAcentral is "bacterial SSU rRNA". It matches the Rfam family "Bacterial small subunit ribosomal RNA", at positions 328 to 794 of the family's 1533-position model. The record is from RNAcentral.